RNAcentral lists this ribosomal RNA (301 nucleotides) under uncultured bacterium. Its description in RNAcentral is "partial 16S ribosomal RNA". It matches the Rfam family "Bacterial small subunit ribosomal RNA", at positions 509 to 807 of the family's 1533-position model. The record is from RNAcentral.
CAGCCGCCGCGGUAAUACGGAGGGUGCAAGCGUUAAUCGGAAUUACUGGGCGUAAAGCGCACGCAGGCGGUUUGUUAAGUCAGAUGUGAAAUCCCCGAGCUUAACUUGGGAACUGCAUUUGAAACUGGCAAGCUAGAGUCUUGUAGAGGGGGGUAGAAUUCCAGGUGUAGCGGUGAAAUGCGUAGAGAUCUGGAGGAAUACCGGUGGCGAAGGCGGCCAUCUGGCCUAAUACUGACGCUGAGGUACGAAAGCAUGGGGAGCAAACAGGAUUAGAUACCCGCGUAGUCCCUGUCUCUUAUAC